This 102-nucleotide ribosomal RNA is filed under the name uncultured bacterium. RNAcentral's name for it is "partial 16S ribosomal RNA". The record is from RNAcentral.
CGUAAGGUUCGGUCGGGGGUAAAUGGGCCCCACCAAGGCGACGAUCGGGUAGCUGGUCUGAGAGGACGAUCCAGCCCACACGGGAACUGAGACACGGUCCCG